CCUACGGGUGGCAGCAGUGGGGAAUAUUGCACAAUGGGGGCAACCCUGAUGCAGCGACGCCGCGUGAGUGAGGAAGUAUUUCGGUAUGUAAAGCUCUAUCAGCAGGGAAGAAAAUGACGUUACCUGACUAAUAAGGCCCGGAUAACUACGAGCCAGCAGCCGCGGUAAUACGUAGGGGGCAAGCGUUAUCCGGAUUUACUGGGGGUAAAGUGAGCGUAGACGGUUAAUCAAGUCAGAAGUGAAAACCCAGGGCUCAACCUUGGGAGUGCUUUGGAAACUGAGUAGCUAGAGUGCAGGAGAGGUGAGCGGAAUUCGUAGUGUAGCGGUGAAAUGCGUAGAUAUUAGGAGGAACACCAGUGGCGAAGGCGGCUUACUGGACUGUAACUGACGUUGAGGCUCGAAAGCGUGGGGAGCAAACAGGAUUAGAUACCCUGGUAGUC
This 440-nucleotide ribosomal RNA is filed under the name uncultured bacterium. Its description in RNAcentral is "partial 16S ribosomal RNA". It matches the Rfam family "Bacterial small subunit ribosomal RNA", at positions 338 to 795 of the family's 1533-position model. The record is from RNAcentral.